AUUGAACGCUGGCGGCAGGCCUAACACAUGCAAGUCGAGCGGAUGAAGGGAGCUUGCUCCUGGAUUCAGCGGCGGACGGGUGAGUAAUGCCUAGGAAUCUGCCUGGUAGUGGGGGAUAACGUCCGGAAACGGGCGCUAAUACCGCAUACGUCCUGAGGGGGAAAGUGGGGGAUCUUCGGACCUCACGCUAUCAGAUGAGCCUAGGUCGGAUUAGCUAGUUGGUGGGGUAAAGGCCUGCCAAGGCGACGAUCCGUAACUGGUCUGAGAGGAUGAUCAGUCACACUGGAACUGAGACACGGUCCAGACUCCUACGGGAGGCAGCAGUGGGGAAUAUUGGACAAUGGGCGAAAGCCUGAUCCAGCCAUGCCGCGUGUGUGAAGAAGGUCUUCGGAUUGUAAAGCACUUUAAGUUGGGAGGAAGGGCAGUAAGUUAAUACCUUGCUGUUUUGACGUUACCAACAGAAUAAGCACCGGCUAACUUCGUG
This 484-nucleotide ribosomal RNA is filed under the name uncultured bacterium. RNAcentral describes it as "partial 16S ribosomal RNA". It matches the Rfam family "Bacterial small subunit ribosomal RNA", at positions 30 to 507 of the family's 1533-position model. The record is from RNAcentral.